This 454-nucleotide long non-coding RNA is filed under the name Homo sapiens (human). RNAcentral's name for it is "HSALNT0327111". The record is from RNAcentral. Lineage: Eukaryota; Metazoa; Chordata; Mammalia; Primates; Hominidae.
AGCAUUAUUGCAGGUAUCUUGAAGGAGAGUUGAGCCCAGCUUUUCAAUUCAUACAGAUCCUUUCUCUGAAGAACCCCUUCCUGAUAUUGUCACUUUAACACAUCUCUGUGGUUUUAUUUUGAAAUUUUUAAAGGUACAGUCAUGUGCCGCAUAAUGACAUUCAGUCAAUGACAGACUGCAUAUAUGAGGUGGUCCUGUAAGGUGAUAAUGGAGCUGAAAAAUUCCUACUACUGAACGACAUCAUAGCCAUUGUAACAUCAUAGCACAACCAAUCACCUUUUCUAUAUUUAGAUAAGGAGUUCAUAUGCUGGAAUGAUAGUGACACAGGAGUUUAACACUCCUACAGUAUCCAGAGCCUGGAUCCCUGAGUCAUCAGAUGGAGAAGAACUACUCAGGAGAGUCAUCCAACCUUCAUAGACAGUGGCAUGAGUGGGAAUUAAACAUUGAUUAUGUU